Molecule: transfer RNA, 88 nt
Filed under: Candidatus Nomurabacteria bacterium RIFCSPHIGHO2_01_FULL_38_19
Lineage: Bacteria; Candidatus Nomuraibacteriota
Description: tRNA-Ser
Source: RNAcentral
GGAGGGUUCGCAUAGCGGUCUAGUGCGCGUCGUUGGAAACGACGUAUGGAGUAAUCCAUCAGGAGUCCGAAUCUCCUACCCUCCGCCU